UGACCUAUGGUGUAAUGGUAACACACCAGUUUUUGGUUCUGGUUUUCUAGGUUCGAAUCCUGGUAGGUCAA
RNAcentral lists this transfer RNA (71 nucleotides) under Cytophagaceae bacterium. Its description in RNAcentral is "tRNA-Gln". It matches the Rfam family "tRNA". From Rfam's summary of the family: Transfer RNA (tRNA) molecules are approximately 80 nucleotides in length. Their secondary structure includes four short double-helical elements and three loops (D, anti-codon, and T loops). Lineage: Bacteria; Pseudomonadati; Bacteroidota; Cytophagia; Cytophagales; Cytophagaceae. The record is from RNAcentral. RNAcentral also lists the same sequence under 11 other names.